This is a long non-coding RNA of Benincasa hispida (wax gourd), 826 nucleotides long. RefSeq lists it as uncharacterized. The record is from RefSeq and is a predicted model, not a curated record. Lineage: Eukaryota; Viridiplantae; Streptophyta; Magnoliopsida; Cucurbitales; Cucurbitaceae.
AGGAUUUUUCCCAAUGCUAUAUAGACAAGCUUUGUCGACGGUCCUUUUCGGCGUCGGGAAAAUAUUCCUCCAUUUACAAUAGAUGUUAGAUUUUAAAAGCCGUCGGGAGAAGAUUUUUAAAAGCCCUAUUCUUUCCUUUUCCUUCAUUUUGCGCCGUUCGACCCCUUCCCUUCGCCCUUCUCCAUGCGUCUGCUGCCCCUUCUCCGCCACCUUCUUCAAACUCGCCCGCUUGAGCCCCUCCGCCGCCCUCCUGUCCCUCCCCCUUUCUGCCCCUUCCGCUUUCCUUCUUUAUGCCCUUUCUGCUCUUCCCCCUCCCCCCUCUCUCACCUAAAGCCUCACUGCCCUUUGAUUUCCAGGUUUCAAGGAGAUUGGACCUUGUUUAUGGUGAUGGGAGUAAUGGGCUUAUGGGUUUGGUUUCUCAAGCUGCUCAAGAUGCAUUUCUCAUGAUGUUUGGCUUAAAAUAAAUUACCCGUGAUGUUUCGAGGUUAGAUUCAGAAUUUGGCGAGACAAUCGCUGCUGUCCAGCGGGUUUGAAGAUGUUUUGGUGACGUUCAGUAAGUGUUAAGGUCGUCUAAUCCUUUAAAAUCUUGGUGUGGUUGCUGGAAUUGUAGUUCAUUAACCUUUAAUUCUGCAUUUGUGUCUAGCUCAUAGCUAAUAUGUCCCUUUAAACUCUUUCGUCAAUUUGAUUAGGAUUGGUAAUGGCUAGUAAUGGAUAUAAAUAUGUGGAAAUGAUUUUAAUUUAUGUAAUUUCUUUACAAUCCUUAUGUUACAAUAAUUUGUCUAAAAGUUUUUUUUGGCUUUGAAUGGAUAUAAUCUAAUUGCACAAA